UACGGAGGGUCCAAGCGUUUAUCCGGAAUCAUUGGGUUUAAAGGGUCCGUAGGCGGUUUUGUAAGUCAGUGGUGAAAGCCCAUCGCUCAACGGUGGAACGGCCAUUGAUACUGCAAGACUUGAAUUAUUGGGAAGCAACUAGAAUAUGUAGUGUAGCGGUGAAAUGCUUAGAGAUUACAUGGAAUACCAAUUGCGAAGGCAGGUUGCUACCAAUA
This 215-nucleotide ribosomal RNA is filed under the name uncultured bacterium. RNAcentral's name for it is "partial 16S ribosomal RNA". It matches the Rfam family "Bacterial small subunit ribosomal RNA", at positions 524 to 737 of the family's 1533-position model. The record is from RNAcentral.